GACGAACGCUGGCGGCGUGCCUAAUACAUGCAAGUCGAACGCUUCUUUUUCCACCGGAGCUUGCUCCACCGGAAAAAAAAGAGUGGCGAACGGGUGAGUAACACGUGGGUAACCUGCCCAUCAGAAGGGGAUAACACUUGGAAACAGGUGCUAAUACCGUAUAACAAUCGAAACCGCAUGGUUUUGAUUUGAAAGGCGCUUUCGGGUGUCGCUGAUGGAUGGACCCGCGGUGCAUUAGCUAGUUGGUGGGGUAACGGCUCACCAAGGCCACGAUGCAAAGCCGGCCUGAGAGGGUGAUCGGCCACAUUGGGACUGAGACACGGCCCAAACUCCUACGGGAGGCAGCAGUAGGGAAUCUUCGGCAAUGGACGAAAGUCUGACCGAGCAACGCCGCGUGAGUGAAGAAGGUUUUCGGAUCGUAAAACUCUGUUGUUAGAGAAGAACAAGGAUGAGAGUAACUGUUCAUCCCUUGACGGUAUCUAACCAGAAAGCCACGGCUAACUACGUGCCAGCCGCCGCCGUAA
RNAcentral lists this ribosomal RNA (524 nucleotides) under uncultured bacterium. Its description in RNAcentral is "partial 16S ribosomal RNA". It matches the Rfam family "Bacterial small subunit ribosomal RNA", at positions 28 to 523 of the family's 1533-position model. The record is from RNAcentral.